Molecule: long non-coding RNA, 403 nt
Filed under: Cyanistes caeruleus (blue tit)
Lineage: Eukaryota; Metazoa; Chordata; Aves; Passeriformes; Paridae
Description: lncRNA (ENSCCEG00000024070.1)
Source: RNAcentral
GGCUUCUUUUUUUUCCCCUGCCUUUGUUGUGUGUGUUCUUCAGCUCUGGGAACUGCUGGUCCUAACUCACGAGGGGAUCUUCAGUGCUCACCUGCUCCAAGGAGUAUGUGAAAUAAGCUGGGCAGCAGCUGCCAAAGUAUCUUGGAAAAUGAGAAGAAAACAUGAAAAUAUCAGUUUAUCUAGAGAACACAUUUCUGUGACUGUCAAAGCUCUGCUACCACCUGGGACAUGCUUUAGACCCAGAAUCUUUCCAAUGAGGCAUUUUACUGGCAUCUCUUUACUGAAAGGAGAAAGAUAACUCUUGAUGGACUGAUCAGCCAUGCCAGAUGAGCUCAGGAGCAUGAUGACAGACCCAUUUAACUGCAGAACCACCAGUCAGCAAGAAUAUUCUUCAUAAUUAAAA